UACGUAGGGGGCUAGCGUUAUCCGGAAUUACUGGGCGUAAAGGGUGCGUAGGUGGUUUCUUAAGUCAGAGGUGAAAGGCUACGGCUCAACCGUAGUAAGCCUUUGAAACUGGGAAACUUGAGUGCAGGAGAGGAGAGUGGAAUUCCUAGUGUAGCGGUGAAAUGCGUAGAUAUUAGGAGGAACACCAGUUGCGAAAGCGGCUCUCUGGCCUGUAACUGACACUGAGGCUCGAAAGCGUGGGGAGCAAACAGG
This 252-nucleotide ribosomal RNA is filed under the name uncultured bacterium. RNAcentral's name for it is "partial 16S ribosomal RNA". It matches the Rfam family "Bacterial small subunit ribosomal RNA", at positions 524 to 776 of the family's 1533-position model. The record is from RNAcentral.